UAUUCAAAUUUUUAUUAUUAAUAUUUAAAAAAAGGAAUUUUUAGUUAGAGUAAUUUUUGAUAAAAUUAAUUUUAUGAUAAUUUAGUUGUACAGUGAUGGGAAUUUUAAAAUUUAAAUAAGAAAAUUUUAUAUAUAGUACCUUUUGUAUCAGGGUUUAUUAAAACUUGAGUUUUUAUAAAGUUUUCCCGAAUUAUAGAGGGCUAAGAGUCUGUAAAUUUUAAUGUAGAAAAAUUAUUUAUAACAGAUUUUUUGUAAUUAUAUGUUAGUCAUUCUUUUAUAUAUCUGGUUUUCUAAGAAAUUAAUUAAAUUAACCAGAGUAAGAAUUUUUUUUUUUGAAUUUAAUUAUUACUUUAGGAAUUCUUAAGGGGAUAAGCUUUUAAGAUAAUUAUUAUAAUAAUGAACAGUUUAUUUUAAAUAGGAUUAGAAGUUUUCAUUUUUGGCAGUGUAUUUUAACUGAACUUAUAGUUUACGUGAUUUUUUUUUAUUUAAAGUUUUUAUUAGAAUUAUAGAAUUAAUGUUGUGUUUUAUGUAAUAAUGAUAGAAUUAGUAAAUAAUAAUGUAAAAUCGAUAAAAGUUGAUAAAUUAUUUUAAGGAAUUCGGCAAAUUAAUUUUCCGCCUGUUUAAUAAAAACAUGUCUUUUUGGUUAUAAUUUUAAGUCCGACCUGCCCAAUGAUUUUUUUAAUGGCCGCGGUAUUUUGACCGUGCAAAGGUAGCAUAAUCAUUAGUUUUUUAAUUGAAAGCUGGAAUGAAUGGUUCGACGAGAAAAUAACUGUCUUAAGUUAAUAAGUUUGAAUUUUAUUUUUGAGUGAAAAAGCUUAAAUUUUCAUGAGGGACGAGAAGACCCUAUAGAAUUUUAUUAUUUUCCUAGUAUAGUCAAGGUUUAGAAUUAUUAAUUCUAUAUUAGUAAAUUAAUUUUGUUGGGGCGAUAGGAAAAUUUAAUAAACUUUUCUUUUUCUUGAACACUAAUUCGUGUAUGAUUGAUCCAUUAUUAAUGAUUAUAAGAGUAAAUUACCUUAGGGAUAACAGCGUUAUUAAUUUGGAGAGUUCUUAUCGAUAAAUUAGUUUGCGACCUCGAUGUUGGAUUAAAAUUAACUUUUGGUGUAAGGGCUAAAAAGGUUAAGUCUGUUCGACUUUUAAAAUUUUACAUGAUCUGAGUUUAAACCGGCGUGAGCCAGGUUGGUUUCUAUCUUUAUAAUAAUAAAAUUUUUUAGUACGAAAGGACCAAAAAUUUUUUAUAUUAAAUUUUAUUUUGAAUAUUAAU
RNAcentral lists this ribosomal RNA (1261 nucleotides) under Prismognathus prossi. RNAcentral describes it as "16S ribosomal RNA". The stretch from base 829 to 1190 matches the Rfam family "Archaeal large subunit ribosomal RNA", at positions 2153 to 2713 of the family's 2987-position model. Lineage: Eukaryota; Metazoa; Arthropoda; Insecta; Coleoptera; Lucanidae. The record is from RNAcentral.